UACGUAGGGUGCGAGCGUUGUCCGGAUUUAUUGGGCGUAAAGAGCUCGUAGGCGGUUUGUUGCGUCGGCCGUGAAAUCUCCACGCUUAACGUGGAGCGUGCGGUCGAUACGGGCAGACUUGAGUUCGGUAGGGGAGACUGGAAUUCCUGGUGUAGCGGUGAAAUGCGCAGAUAUCAGGAGGAACACCGGUGGCGAAGGCGGGUCUCUGGGCCGAUACUGACGCUGAGGAGCGAAAGCGUGGGGAGCGAACAGG
This 253-nucleotide ribosomal RNA is filed under the name uncultured bacterium. RNAcentral's name for it is "partial 16S ribosomal RNA". It matches the Rfam family "Bacterial small subunit ribosomal RNA", at positions 524 to 776 of the family's 1533-position model. The record is from RNAcentral.